GGUCGAUCCAGUGCAGUGGUGUUUACAACUAAUUGAUCACAACCGGUUACAGAUUCCUUUGUUCCUUCUCCACUCCCACUGCUUCACUUGACCAGCCUUAA
This 101-nucleotide Y RNA is filed under the name Propithecus coquereli (Coquerel's sifaka). RNAcentral describes it as "Y RNA (ENSPCOG00000008899.1)". It matches the Rfam family "Y RNA". Rfam says of the family: Y RNAs are components of the Ro ribonucleoprotein particle (Ro RNP), in association with Ro60 and La proteins. The Y RNAs and Ro60 and La proteins are well conserved, but the function of the Ro RNP is not known. In humans the RNA component can be one of four small RNAs -- hY1, hY3, hY4 and hY5. Lineage: Eukaryota; Metazoa; Chordata; Mammalia; Primates; Indriidae. The record is from Rfam by way of RNAcentral.